RNAcentral lists this long non-coding RNA (959 nucleotides) under Coffea arabica (coffee). RNAcentral's name for it is "long non-coding RNA (CARA_LNC001010)". Lineage: Eukaryota; Viridiplantae; Streptophyta; Magnoliopsida; Gentianales; Rubiaceae. The record is from RNAcentral.
AUUUCCCCUGAAAAGAAAACUUAUGUUUUAGAUACCCUGCUCCUUUCUUGAGCUUAAUUUCCAUUCUUGUGGUAUUUGCAGUUUCCAUCCGUUCAUUGUUUUUUAUAGUCUGAGAACCAUGAAUGACCCCAUCCUGAGCCAUGGAGAUUGCGCUGGACGUGGCCAAGGUUAAUUUGAUUUACUAAUGACAAUCACAUCUGCAGCACUUGUGAAAUGUUAUGUACCAGGUAGAUGUGGUCAUGUAGUCAAAACAUUCCAUUUUCUAUUGAUUUAGCUUGAUAAAUCACUAUCGUAAAUUGACAUACAAAAGCUUCGUAAUUCAUUAGCUCCAAACAUGUCUUCAGGGCAGAGAUUGCGGUUAUUUUGUGAUGCUUCAGGACAGGGAAUGCCAGACUUGAUGGACUGGACUUAAUCAUUUGGUGGUAUUUAUGGAACAAGGAACAUGACAGUCUCCAUGAUGCUAGGUCAUUGAGCUAAAAUGCAUCCGAUUCAAGUGUACUAACAUAAACUGUCCAUACAACCAUGAUCAAGUCUGAAGAGCUAAAAGCCGGUUACCAUCUUCCUAGAAGCCCGAGAUAGUGAUUUACCUUUCCCCUGGGAAGGUAAGGUAAUGAUUAUGUCCUUCCUAGGAGGGGCUGUCUAGACUUGUAUCAUGAAGGGAAACCAUCACCUCACAUGGGAGAGGGAGGCCAAUAAGGCUGCAGUUUCAGACUAAGUCCCCUCUUCCUGUCAUCUUCAUCAUUUUCGUAGUUGUAGUUUUGGUCUAUAGAUGAGAAAAAUUCCUUUCAUGGCAUAUGUUUUAUGAGUUAUCACUAAUUCGUUUGUAUGAUUAGUCAUCUGCAAUAGAAUGCAAAUUUUGCUGUUGAACUUGUUCGAAAAUGCAAGCAUAUGUUAUUUCUUCAAGAUUUUCAUCUAUUUAGUUCUGACCCUGCUACCUACAUCUUCCAUAUUGGUUAUGU